GUACUCGAGCGGCGAACGGGUGAGUAACACGUGAGUAACCUGCCCCCGACUCUGGGAUAAGCCCGGGAAACUGGGUCUAAUACCGGAUACGACCACUUCCCGCAUGGGAUGGUGGUGGAAAGUUUUUCGGUUGGGGAUGGACUCGCGGCCUAUCAGCUUGUUGGUGGGGUAACGGCCUACCAAGGCGACGACGGGUAGCCGGCCUGAGAGGGCGACCGGCCACACUGGGACUGAAACACGGCCCAAACUCCUACGGGAGGCAGCAGUGGGGAAUAUUGCGCAAUGGGCGAAAGCCUGACGCAGCGACCCCCCGUGGGGGAUGACGGCCUUCGGGUUGUAAACCUCUUUCAGCAGGGACGAAGUUGACGUGUACCUGCAGAAAAAGCGCCGGCUAACUACGUGCCAACAGCCGCGGUAAUACAUAGGGCGCAAGCGUUGUCCGGAAUUAUUGGGCGUA
Molecule: ribosomal RNA, 457 nt
Filed under: Streptosporangium sp.
Lineage: Bacteria; Bacillati; Actinomycetota; Actinomycetes; Streptosporangiales; Streptosporangiaceae
Description: bacterial SSU rRNA
Rfam family: Bacterial small subunit ribosomal RNA
Source: RNAcentral